This 471-nucleotide ribosomal RNA is filed under the name uncultured bacterium. RNAcentral's name for it is "SSU rRNA". It matches the Rfam family "Bacterial small subunit ribosomal RNA", at positions 26 to 518 of the family's 1533-position model. The record is from RNAcentral.
AGAACGAACGCUGGCGGCAUGCCUAACACAUGCAAGUCGAACGCUCCUGGGGCUUCGGUCUCAGGGGAGUGGCGCACGGGUGAGUAGCGCGUGGGAACCUGCCCUGUUGUGGGGGAUAACCGAGGGAAACUUCGGCUAAUACCGCAUAAGCCGGUUGUCUUGAAAGAGAUGACCGGGAAAGAUUUAUCGCGACAGGAGGGGCCCGCGUCGGAUUAGCUAGUUGGUGGGUAACGGCCCACCAAGGCAGUGAUCCGUAGCUGGUCUGAGAGGAUGAUCAGCCACACUGGGACUGAGACACGGCCCAGACUCCUACGGGAGGCAGCAGUGGGGAAUAUUGGACAAUGGGCGCAAGCCUGAUCCAGCAAUGCCGCGUGAGUGAUGAAGGCCUUAGGGUUGUAAAGCUCUUUCGCCCGCGACGAUGAUGACGGUAGCGGGAGAAGAAGCCCCGGCUAACUUCGUGCCAGCAGCCGC